UCUAAUGGCUGCAAUCAACAUUCAUUGCUGUCGGUGGGUUUCCAUGCUAUCAACUCACUGACCAAUGAAUGCAAACUGCGGACCAA
Molecule: microRNA precursor, 86 nt
Filed under: Zonotrichia leucophrys (white-crowned sparrow)
Lineage: Eukaryota; Metazoa; Chordata; Aves; Passeriformes; Passerellidae
Description: microRNA 181
Rfam family: mir-181 microRNA precursor family
About the family: In this case the mature sequence comes from the 5' arm of the precursor. The extents of the hairpin precursors are not generally known and are estimated based on hairpin prediction. The products are thought to have regulatory roles through complementarity to mRNA.
Source: RNAcentral